AAGGUACUCCCUCCGUCCGAAAAAACUUGUCAUCAAAAUGAAUGAAAAGAGAUGUAUCUAGAACUAAAAUAUAUCUAGAUACAUGUCUUCUUAUUCUUUUUUAUGAAAAUUUCGGACGGAGGGAGUAGAUG
This is a non-coding RNA of Triticum aestivum (bread wheat), 131 nucleotides long. The record is from Rfam. NCBI's taxonomy places the organism in Eukaryota, Viridiplantae, Streptophyta, Magnoliopsida, Poales, Poaceae.